GUCAGAGCCCGUUAAUGGGUGAUGGCGUGCCUUUUGUAGAAUGAACCGGCGAGUUACGAUUUGAUGCAAGGUUAAGCAGUAAAUGUGGAGCCGUAGCGAAAGCGAGUCUGAAUAGGGCGUUUAGUAUUUGGUCGUAGACCCGAAACCAGGUGAUCUACCCUUGGUCAGGUUGAAGUUCAGGUAACACUGAAUGGAGGACCGAACCGACUUACGUUGAAAAGUGAGCGGAUGAACUGAGGGUAGCGGAGAAAUUCCAAUCGAACCUGGAGAUAGCUGGUUCUCUCCGAAAUAGCUUUAGGGCUAGCCUCAAGUGAUGAUUAUUGGAGGUAGAGCACUGUUUGGACGAGGGGCCCCUCUCGGGUUACCGAAUUCAGACAAACUCCGAAUGCCAAUUAAUUUAACUUGGGAGUCAGAACAUGGGUGAUAAGGUCCGUGUUCGAAAGGGAAACAGCCCAGACCACCAGCUAAGGUCCCAAAAUAUAUGUUAAGUGGAAAAGGAUGUGGCGUUGCCCAGACAACUAGGAUGUUGGCUUAGAAGCAGCCAUCAUUUAAAGAGUGCGUAAUAGCUCACUAGUCGAGUGACACUGCGCCGAAAAUGUACCGGGGCUAAACAUAUUACCGAAGCUGUGGAUUGUCCUUUGGACAAUGGUAGGAGAGCGUUCUAAGGGCGUUGAAGCAUGAUCGUAAGGACAUGUGGAGCGCUUAGAAGUGAGAAUGCCGGUGUGAGUAGCGAAAGACGGGUGAGAAUCCCGUCCACCGAUUGACUAAGGUUUCCAGAGGAAGGCUCGUCCGCUCUGGGUUAGUCGGGUCCUAAGCUGAGGCCGACAGGCGUAGGCGAUGGAUAACAGGUUGAUAUUCCUGUACCACCUAUAAUCGUUUUAAUCGAUGGGGGGACGCAGUAGGAUAGGCGAAGCGUGCGAUUGGAUUGCACGUCUAAGCAGUAAGGCUGAGUAUUAGGCAAAUCCGGUACUCAUUAAGGCUGAGCUGUGAUGGGGAGAAGACAUUGUGUCUUCGAGUCGUUGAUUUCACACUGCCGAGAAAAGCCUCUAGAUAGAAAAUAGGUGCCCGUACCGCAAACCGACACAGGUAGUCAAGAUGAGAAUUCUAAGGUGAGCGAGCGAACUCUCGUUAAGGAACUCGGCAAAAUGACCCCGUAACUUCGGGAGAAGGGGUGCUCUUUAGGGUUAACGCCCAGAAGAGCCGCAGUGAAUAGGCCCAAGCGACUGUUUAUCAAAAACACAGGUCUCUGCUAAACCGUAAGGUGAUGUAUAGGGGCUGACGCCUGCCCGGUGCUGGAAGGUUAAGAGGAGUGGUUAGCUUCUGCGAAGCUACGAAUCGAAGCCCCAGUAAACGGCGGCCGUAACUAUAACGGUCCUAAGGUAGCGAAAUUCCUUGUCGGGUAAGUUCCGACCCGCACGAAAGGCGUAACGAUUUGGGCACUGUCUCAACGAGAGACUCGGUGAAAUCAUAGUACCUGUGAAGAUGCAGGUUACCCGCGACAGGACGGAAAGACCCCGUGGAGCUUUACUGUAGCCUGAUAUUGAAAUUCGGCACAGCUUGUACAGGAUAGGUAGGAGCCUUUGAAACGUGAGCGCUAGCUUACGUGGAGGCGCUGGUGGGAUACUACCCUAGCUGUGUUGGCUUUCUAACCCGCACCACUUAUCGUGGUGGGAGACAGUGUCAGGCGGGCAGUUUGACUGGGGCGGUCGCCUCCUAAAAGGUAACGGAGGCGCUCAAAGGUUCCCUCAGAAUGGUUGGAAAUCAUUCAUAGAGUGUAAAGGCAUAAGGGAGCUUGACUGCGAGACCUACAAGUCGAGCAGGGUCGAAAGACGGACUUAGUGAUCCGGUGGUUCCGCAUGGAAGGGCCAUCGCUCAACGGAUAAAAGCUACCCCGGGGAUAACAGGCUUAUCUCCCCCAAGAGUUCACAUCGACGGGGAGGUUUGGCACCUCGAUGUCGGCUCAUCGCAUCCUGGGGCUGUAGUCGGUCCCAAGGGUUGGGCUGUUCGCCCAUUAAAGCGGUACGCGAGCUGGGUUCAGAACGUCGUGAGACAGUUCGGUCCCUAUCCGUCGUGGGCGUAGGAAAUUUGAGAGGAGCUGUCCUUAGUACGAGAGGACCGGGAUGGACAUACCUCUGGUGUACCAGUUGUCGUGCCAACGGCAUAGCUGGGUAGCUAUGUGUGGACGGGAUAAGUGCUGAAAGCAUCUAAGCAUGAAGCCCCCCUCAAGAUGAGAUUUCCCAACUUCGGUUAUAAGAUCCCUCAAAGAUGAUGAGGUUAAUAGGUUCGAGGUGGAAGCAUGGUGACAUGUGGAGCUGACGAAUACUAAUCGAUCGAAGACUUAAUCAA
This 2346-nucleotide ribosomal RNA is filed under the name Staphylococcus aureus 1111101949. Its description in RNAcentral is "bacterial LSU rRNA". It matches the Rfam family "Bacterial large subunit ribosomal RNA", at positions 573 to 2925 of the family's 2925-position model. RNAcentral also lists the same sequence under 1 other name. The record is from RNAcentral. Lineage: Bacteria; Bacillati; Bacillota; Bacilli; Caryophanales; Staphylococcaceae.